UUACAUACCUGGACGGGGUCAUGAUGGGUGAUCAGGAAGGCCCAUGGCCUAGGUUAGUGACUUCCAUUGCACAUUAAAGGAAGGGUGCUAGCCUAAGGUCGACCCAUGGUGGUCGAUCCUACGUCAUAAUUUGUGGCAGCGGGGGCUUGCGUCCGCGCGGCCCCUAC
Molecule: non-coding RNA, 167 nt
Organism: Helianthus annuus (common sunflower)
Lineage: Eukaryota; Viridiplantae; Streptophyta; Magnoliopsida; Asterales; Asteraceae
Source: Rfam